This is a long non-coding RNA of Clupea harengus (Atlantic herring), 651 nucleotides long. RefSeq lists it as uncharacterized. Lineage: Eukaryota; Metazoa; Chordata; Actinopteri; Clupeiformes; Clupeidae. The record is from RefSeq and is a predicted model, not a curated record. The transcript is spliced from 2 exons.
CAGACGAUAUCUUUCCCUGUUACUCUCCAUGCAUUAAUGUGUGCUGAAUGCUCUUUGUGCUUGCCUGCAUCUUGAGCUCUUACCAACCCACUUUUUUGUGGCUGUAAAUUGAACGCAGCUGUGGUUAUUAUGGAGCUGUUACAUUGAUCCAGUUUUAUAGUCAAUACGAUUCUGUACACUGCAAUUUGUUAAUGGAAAAUAUUUAUAUGAAGAGUUGAUGCGAGAACAAAACACUUUAUGAAAUGACAACCACAGUACUGUCACUGUAUUACAACCAUUAUGUACAUGGGAAAAUAUACAUUAUCAUACAGCCACUCAUUACCUUACUCUUAAAUUAGUAAUAUAUAUAAUACAGUUAAGAGUAUGUCUACUUGUUGGCUUUGAACACAAUAGUAGUUCAUAACCAAUAACCUGAGAACCCUGAGUAUUGCCUUCCUGUUCAGCAGACCCUGUUCCUGACCAAGUGACGGCACAGAGGGUGGAAAGCUGCAGACAUGUCCCACUUUCACCUCGGUGUCAGAGCACUCAGUCUGUCCUCCUAAGUGACUACAGAACAGUGGCAGUGAGAGUCAGUGGGGAAACAGUGGUUGUGUUCUGUACUAGAGACUAGGAGGGGUGUGGUGCGGCGUGGUGCGGUGCCGCGUGGCGGAA